AGGCUUAACACAUGCAAGUCGAGGGGCAGCAUUUCAGUUUGCUUGCAAACUGGAGAUGGCGACCGGCGCACGGGUGAGUAACACGUAUCCAACCUGCCGAUAACUCGGGGAUAGCCUUUCGAAAGAAAGAUUAAUACCCGAUGGUAUAAUUAGACCGCAUGGUCUUGUUAUUAAAGAAUUUCGGUUAUCGAUGGGGAUGCGUUCCAUUAGGCAGUUGGUGAGGUAACGGCUCACCAAACCUUCGAUGGAUAGGGGUUCUGAGAGGAAGGUCCCCCACAUUGGAACUGAGACACGGUCCAAACUCCUACGGGAGGCAGCAGUGAGGAAUAUUGGUCAAUGGGCGCAGGCCUGAACCAGCCAAGUAGCGUGAAGGAUGACUGCCCUAUGGGUUGUAAACUUCUUUUAUAUGGGAAUAAAGUUUUCCACGUGUGGAAUUUUGUAUGUACCAUAUGAAUAAGGGUCGGCUAACUCCGUGCCAGCAGCCGCGGUAAUACGGAGGAUCCGAGCGUUAUCCGGAUUUAUUGGGUUUAAAGGGAGCGUAGGUGGACAGUUAAGUCAGUUGUGAAAGUUUGCGGCUCAACCGUAAAAUUGCAGUUGAUACUGGCUGUCUUGAGUACAGUAGAGGUGGGCGGAAUUCGUGGUGUAGCGGUGAAAUGCUU
RNAcentral lists this ribosomal RNA (659 nucleotides) under uncultured Bacteroidales bacterium. RNAcentral's name for it is "bacterial SSU rRNA". It matches the Rfam family "Bacterial small subunit ribosomal RNA", at positions 44 to 691 of the family's 1533-position model. Lineage: Bacteria; Pseudomonadati; Bacteroidota; Bacteroidia; Bacteroidales. The record is from RNAcentral.